AUACGAAGGUCCUAAGCGUUAUUCGGAAUCACUGGGCGUAAAGAGUACGUAGGCGGUUUGGUAAGUCAGGUGUGAAAUCCCGGAGCUCAACUCCGGAACUGCAUCCGAUACUGCCAGACUUGAGUAAUGGAGAGGCAGGUGGAAUUCUCGGUGUAGCAGUGAAAUGCGUGGAUAUCGAGAGGAAGACCAAUGGCGAAGGCAGCCUGCUGGACAUUUACUGACGCUGAGGUACGAAGGCUAGGGGAGCGAAAGGGAUUAGAAACCCCAGUAGUCC
RNAcentral lists this ribosomal RNA (274 nucleotides) under uncultured bacterium. Its description in RNAcentral is "partial 16S ribosomal RNA". It matches the Rfam family "Bacterial small subunit ribosomal RNA", at positions 523 to 796 of the family's 1533-position model. The record is from RNAcentral.